GGGGGGGGGGGUUUAAGUGAUAAUUAAAAAACUUAAUUUCCAAACUUUCAUUACCAGGUUACAUGUGAUAAUUGCAACACUCAAUCUUCAAAAACAAAUAGAAUUUGAAUGUAUAUUUUGUAUAUGCGCGUUCUUUAACUACAGUCCAUGGCAUAUAUGUGGUAAGAAAAUGAUUCUGAAGAGGAUAUAUAUAAAUACAAUGUAAAUCUAUUUUCUUUAUUAACAUUUAUAAAUGAAAUUGAAAAUAUACAACUAAAUUUGUAUAGUCCUUUUUCUGAAAAAUAAUGAAAAUAAACAUGUGAUAAAUAAAUCAUUUGACGUGAAUUGUUAAGGAUAACCAUGAAAAAAGUAUGUGUCAAAAUAAAAAAUAAUAUUAUAAAACAGCUGUUCUCUAUGCCAAUAAAAGUUUCUUCCUUGCCAAUCUAAUGAAUUCAUCUAUAGGAAUGCUUGUCUAGAAUGGUCUGAAAAUAUAUUUAAUACACUUAUUAGUGGAAUAUUUACUAUAUUUAUACUAAUAUACAGGUAAUCAAAUAAAAAAUGUACAAAUCAUUUGGAAAUAAUUCACAGAAAUAAAGACACAUUUCAAACAUGAAUUUCUUUAAAAGUUUUUUAGCAAUCAAGAAACAUUUUUUUGCAAUGCCAUCAUUAAACCAUGUAAAAAAUAAUUAUCUUAUUCUGAAUCGCGGUAAUAAUUCGUGCUUGAAGUAAAAGGGCGGCGAAGUGUAGAGAGUAUGCCUAAACAAUAGGCGAGUAUUUUUUAAAUUAGGUAUUUUUUAACUAAGCGUUGCAGCGUUCUAUCAGCAUAUUUUCAUAUAUUAAUACUUUAGCGACACAAAAUAAUACUGCAUCAAUACAUUCAUAUGUGUAUAAUUUUUCACAAAGCUGCAAUAACACCACAUACUCCGGUGAAAAUCUGUCAUAUUUCGUACUCCGCGCGUUCCGCCAUCUCAUUCUGUCCACCUUUAUCCGAUUACGCGCAUGCGCACGACGGGACUUUAAGCUAAACGAAAGUGUCCGAUCCUUGUAAUAUAAAUCCGUGGUUUAAGUUAUAAUUGGACGACUUCUUCAUCAGUAAUUUAAAUUGAAACAGCAGGGUGUUAUAGAUAAAACUUUAUUACCCCUGUAUAAUAUUACACAAUUUGUAUUGUACACUUCCUUUGAAUAACUGGAUAUUGGUCAGGCGGCAAGUGUCAAACAAAUUGGCACGCCAACGGUUGUUCAUUCAACCGGGAAUUUUAUAAAAACCAUGAUAUAAUUAAUCAGUUACGCUUAUAUUAUUAAAAUGGUAAUUUAUGUAACGUUUAAAUAUACCGAUCAAUGUUUAUGGAUUUUGAGAAGGGACAAAUUGUGUGACGUGCAUUAUUAAAAAUAUCAUGUAUUACCACGGAUUUAUAUUAUGUAAUAUAAAUCGGUGGUAUUACGAAGAACCGGAUAAAAUGUGUGUUAUAUCUCUUCCAAACAACCAAUCUUAACUUCUCAAAAUUUUGAAAAAAAUAAUUAAUUAUUUAAAAUCUAUUUAUGUGACUUAAUUUUUUCUGUUUGCAUCACAGGCAAAUCGGAUAAAGGAUAUAUAUAAUCAGGUAUAUAUUGAACAUAUUGAAAAAUGCAUUAUCACCUGUUCUGAUAUUUUUUUUCAGAAUUAUAAUUAAUCUCGAUUUCAUGUUUUAAAAUUUCUUUUGUUUUUAUAUGAACUAUUUCAACAGCAAAUAAGUUGACUUUUCAUUUGCUAAUAGAUACAUUAAUUUACACAUCUUCUUUAAAAAAUGAUCUCAGCUAGUGUCAGGUCCGUGAUCGUAAAUUCUUAAACAAGUAUCUUUUCCAUGCCUUUUUAUGACAUUCUUCCCUCAAAGCUAUAAGACAUCUUUUCUAUAUUUGUUAAAAGCUUUUUCAUAUAAUUUUCUACCGUUUACCUUGAACUAACUCGGUAUUGUCUAUGAACUUCUACUAUAUUUCUAUGUUGGGCGAAGGAUUUUCUGCCCUACGCAGAUUGCGCAUGCGCGAGAAAAUUCUUAUUCGGGUCGAUUUUUCAUAGCAACGGACCGCGUCGUAAAAAGGUCUAUAUCGGCAUUCAAUAUUUAAGCCGAGCCAUGUAUUUUCUAAAUAAGUUGCCCACUAAAUACAACCAGACAUAAUUCAUCUCAUAUGGUGGGUGAAUAUGAGACGCAUUUGGCAUGACGUUUAUUCAAUAUUGCGAAUUCAAGCUAAUUUAACUUCUAAUGGUUCCAUUUAACUUUGCCACUAGGUGUGGGAAGAAGCCCUGCUUGGUUAGCACGAACAAGUUGUAAGUUUGUACCGGAAUAUGGUAUUGCUGUACUCCAGUCUAAUGUAUGGAUACUUUGAAAAUCUGUAUAUCGGCUGGGGCCAAAAGAAACUUGAAGUCGUUUUUUGAGACUGCACCACCCGAAAUGACUCUUACUGAAUUUCCAAGUGGACCGGAAAUAACAGAAGCAGGCGAUCCAACGUAGCGCUCCAAAAUAGGAACUUGAAGCUGAAUCGACGAUGACGACGAUGAUGAUAUUGUCGACGAUGAUGGUGAAGGGGAUGCACAGUUUGAUUAAAUAUCGUAUUCAUAUGUACAUGAAAUGUUUGCAAUGCGUCUACAAGAAGGGAACAGGGAUUAUUAAUAUGUUUACAUCGUUUUAAAAUUAGGAACAGGUGUAACAAGAACUACGUUUACAAGUUUAGUGCAUGGGACAAUAUGCAUUUUGUUUGAAUAAUAUCUGAGUAGUACAAAUAAAAUUUCAAUUUUGAAAAGAAAAUAAAAUAUACGUACUAUUUGGUGCUAUUGUCCAUUUUUUGAAUUAAAUCUACAAAUCGUUUGAAA
Ruditapes philippinarum (Manila clam) is the source of this 2824-nucleotide long non-coding RNA. RefSeq lists it as uncharacterized. The transcript has 2 exons. NCBI's taxonomy places the organism in Eukaryota, Metazoa, Mollusca, Bivalvia, Venerida, Veneridae. The record is from RefSeq and is a predicted model, not a curated record.